RNAcentral lists this ribosomal RNA (253 nucleotides) under uncultured bacterium. RNAcentral's name for it is "partial 16S ribosomal RNA". It matches the Rfam family "Bacterial small subunit ribosomal RNA", at positions 524 to 776 of the family's 1533-position model. The record is from RNAcentral.
UACGAAGGGGGUUAGCGUUGUUCGGAAUCACUGGGCGUAAAGCGCACGUAGGCGGAUUGUUAAGUCAGGGGUGAAAUCCCGGAGCUCAACUCCGGAACUGCCCUUGAUACUGGCGAUCUAGAGUCCGGGAGAGGUGAGUGGAACUGCGAGUGUAGAGGUGAAAUUCGUAGAUAUUCGCAAGAACACCAGUGGCGAAGGCGGCUCACUGGCCCGGAACUGACGCUGAGGUGCGAAAGCGUGGGGAGCAAACAGG